AUUGAACGCUGGCGGCAUGCUUUACACAUGCAAGUCGAACGGCAGCGCGGGCUUCGGCCUGGCGGCGAGUGGCGAACGGGUGAGUAAUGCAUCGGAACGUGCCCAGUAGUGGGGGAUAGCCCGGCGAAAGCCGGAUUAAUACCGCAUACGACCUGAGGGUGAAAGCGGGGGACCGAAAGGCCUCGCGCUAUUGGAGCGGCCGAUGUCGGAUUAGCUAGUUGGUGGGGUAAAGGCUUACCAAGGCGACGAUCCGUAGCUGGUCUGAGAGGACGACCAGCCACACUGGGACUGAGACACGGCCCAGACUCCUACGGGAGGCAGCAGUGGGGAAUUUUGGACAAUGGGGGCAACCUGAUCCAGCCAUGCCGCGUGCGGGAAGAAGGCCUUCGGGUUGUAAACCGCUUUUGUUCGGGAAGAAAUCCUCUGGGCUAAUACCCCGGGGGGAUGACGGUACCGGAAGAAUAAGCACCGGCUAACUACGUG
Molecule: ribosomal RNA, 483 nt
Filed under: uncultured bacterium
Lineage: Bacteria
Description: partial 16S ribosomal RNA
Rfam family: Bacterial small subunit ribosomal RNA
Source: RNAcentral